Molecule: ribosomal RNA, 472 nt
Filed under: Rhinoscapha amicta
Lineage: Eukaryota; Metazoa; Arthropoda; Insecta; Coleoptera; Curculionidae
Description: partial 16S ribosomal RNA
Rfam family: Bacterial large subunit ribosomal RNA (bases 323-472)
Source: RNAcentral
CUGACCGUGCAAAGGUAGCAUAAUCAUUAGUUUUUUAAUAGAAAGCUGGUAUGAAAGGUUGGAUGAGAAAAUGACUGUCUCUGUUUAAAUUAUUUAGAAUUUUAUUUUUAAGUAAAAAAGCUUAAAUAAAUAUAGAAGACGAGAAGACCCUAUAGAGUUUUAUAGAUUUGUAUUUAAAUAUCUUUUGGAAUUAAAAAAUUUUUAGGUAUAAAUGUAUUUGGUUGGGGUGAUUGAAAAAUGGAAUAAACUUUUUUUUUAUUGCAACAUUAAUUUAUGAUUAUUUGAUCCUUAGAUAAAGAUUAAAAGAAAAAAUUACCUUAGGGAUAACAGCGUAAUUUUUUUAAAGAGUUCAAAUCGAAAAAAAAGAUUGCGACCUCGAUGUUGGAUUAAAAUAAAAUUUUGGUGUAGGGGCUAAAGUAUUUGGGUCUGUUCGACCCUUAAAAUUUUACAUGAUCUGAGUUUAAACCGGUGU